This 7883-nucleotide long non-coding RNA is filed under the name Marmota monax (woodchuck). The record is from RNAcentral. Lineage: Eukaryota; Metazoa; Chordata; Mammalia; Rodentia; Sciuridae.
GGAAGGACUUCAUUAACACUUCUUUGGGAUGGGCUAUCUUCAAAUCUGCUGGGGCUGUUCAUUAACAUUCCUUUGGGAUGGACUUUGGGCCUAGGGCUUUUCUUGGGACUUCAUUAACAUUCCAUGAGUUGUCCUGCAUUUCCUGGAAUCAUUCUCAGCAUGGCCUCCAUUUUAGAUUUCACUCGGUAUUAGACCCGAUUUACCUAACUACACUGACUACCUAAUUUUAAAUCUGGCUUCACUGGUCUUGAACUUGCAAUUCUACUGCUUCAGCCUCCAGAUUCUGGAAUUACAGGUGAAUGCCACCAAGUGUGGCUUACUUUUGCCUUUUAAAAAAUAUUAUAUAUAAUUUUAUUAUUUAUAUUGUUUUCAUCAUUUUUUACUCAACAUUAUGUAUGUACAAUUCAUUUUAUCUUCAAUUUAUUCCUAUUCAUUAUAUUUUAGUUUUUAUUAUGGUAAACUUUCCAACUGUAUCAAAAUUUACUUAUCCAUUCUAUACCUGAUGGACAUUCUGGUUGUUUGCACUUGGGCCAAUUAUUAACAAUACUUCCUAAAUGUUCCUUUACAUCAUCUAGAGGCACAUAUGUGCUUUUUUCUUUAGGGUUUAUGAAGCUAAGUAUAUGUUUACCUUUCUUGGAUGCCACACUAUUUUUCAAAAUGAUAAUACUAAUUUGUAAUCCCAACAGCAGGGUUUGAGAAUUUCUGUUGUUCCAUUCACUAAACACUUCAUUUUUUUCCAAUUUAAUAGGGGUAUGUCCCAGGUUUGUUUUAAUUAGCUCUUAUCUGUUACUAAAGGUAGAUCUUCUCUUUGCUUAUUGGUCAUUUGGAUAUCCCUUUUUGUAAACUGACUGUUAAAGUAUGUUACCUGUUAUUCUAUUUGCUUGUUUGUCCUGUCACUUUUGAAUAUUUAUGCUUAUUAGGCAUUCUUGAUUAUAAGUAAUACAAAUAUCUUUUCCCAUCUUUUACUUUCUUUACUGUGUAAUACCUAAUAAUAAUGGAGUAUUUUUAGGAACAGAAAUAACUUCUUAAUUUUAGUGUAGUUGAGUUUAUCAGUUCUUUCAUUCUAUGGUUGUUAUUUUGCAUUUAAAAUUCUUUGUCAUUUGAGACCAUGAAAAUAUUCUUCUACAUUCUUUUCUAAGAGCAUUAUAGUUUUUCCUUCCUUAGGCUAGGUUUUCAAUCUAUCUGACACUGAUUUUUGUGUUCCUUUACUUCAUAAUCAUUUUAUUAAUAUAUUCUCUGCAUUUUGUCUGUUGUUUAUGCAGAUUCUCACUAAUAGUGGCUUGCCUUGCCUUCUCACGAACUUCAUGGUCUUUGGUUGUAAACUCAUUGAUUGAAAUAAACCUCAGAACAUUCUCCUCCAGAGGAGAUUUAUUUCAUCUUCUGUUUAUAGGUAAAAUAUGCCACCAUUCAAGGACGACUUCAGUAUCUUGGCUCAGUUCAUCCUUCCAAAUUUUGUGUUGGCCAAAGCCUUAGUAUCCUGAUAGCAGUACUACUAUCUGCAUUUUACUCAGAAUGAUUCUGGUUUUGGAUUUUUUUUGUUUGUUUGGAGGUAAAGCACCUUUGGAGAACUCCCUAUUUUAUCAGAGUCCCACAAUGCCUCAAAGAAAUGGGUCCUAUCCAAGGUCUAAUUGUUCCUUAGCAGAUGGAUGCCUCAGUGCACCUAGUCAUCUGUAACAUCAUAUUUGGAAAUCCCUAAUAAAAUAUUUUGCUUAUUGCUCCAAAUCAUUACAGAAUUUCUUCAUUUUUCUGUAGGGUUAUAUAAAUAUUCUGUUGUAUGGAAUUUAUUUAACCAGCUCCCCAAUGAUAGACCUACAUAUUAAAUCCAAUUAUUUGCUACUAUACGCAAUGUUGCAAUAUCAUUUCACACCUAUGUGUGUAUAUCUGUAUUAUAAAUUCCUAGAAACAGAAUUACUAGAUCAAAUUGCCCUGUAGAGGUUGUACAAAUUUAUCAUUUUAUAUUGUUUAUAAAUACUGAAAAAUAUAUGAAAUAUUUGCUUCAUGCAAUUCUCAAAAAUAUUCUACAUUGCCUUCUGAAAUAUAGAUGCAGUGUUAACAAUUUCAAAAUUUCACUGAGAUUUUGGAGUGGGAAAACUUUUCAAGUACACAUGGAAUAUUAAGCAAAAUUGAACAAAUAAUGACAUCUAAAGCAAGUUUGUUGCUUCAUGAACUGCAAGUGUCCCAAAUGCUAUUCUUUAUAUAUGAGAGAAUAUCUUAUUUUUCUCUCCCUAACAAGAACCAAUUUUUACGAAGAUUAAUUACUAUUGUACUUUUAAUCUAGUCAAUAAAUUUGUCAGUCCUUUGCUUUAAAAUAAUUUAAAUAGGCAUGCAUGCCUGACAUUUUAUAGUGGAAUAGAUGGAAUGGAAUUGCAGGUACAAAACUAAAAUUGGCAAUGGAUUCUACUAUUAUCUUUGCACUGAAAAGUAAUUUAUGUUAGAAAAUUAUUACAGCCUCUUAAGCAUUCAUAAAUUAAAUAUAUCUAAACCUUAAAUUAUAAUCAAUAAUCAUCUACUUAAUAUAUAUUAAUAUUUUAUAUAUUUAUAUAUAUAUAUAUAUGUGUGUGUGUAUAUAUAUAUAUAUAUUAUCCAUUUCUUACUUUAAAGUUACAGUAAUAAAGUCUUUUGGAAGUAAAUGAGGGGAAAGGAUUUUCAUGUCUUCUAAGUUUUCUAAUUUAGAAUGUUUCAGCAACUAAUGCAGAAUAUCUACAAAGUAAAGCAAGUUCAUGCCCCUGUUACUUUUAUGUCUUUAGGGACCUGAUAACAGACAUGAAUGUGACCAGCAGAAUAUAUUAUAGUUUUUCUGUUGGGUAUUAAAUAAAUCCUUCCUGGUAUCCGAAGAGCCAGAAGGUGACUAGGCCCUUAUUUUAGCAUUUUUGACUUAAGUAAUCAUCCUGAUAUACCUUAAAUGUAUAUUUAUUAUCUAAGAGAUGGAAAUGGUUAGAAGGAUUUUCUAGAAGCUAAGUUUGUUACAUCUUGGAACAUUACUGAAUCUAGACUUGGUCUGAGUAGUCAAAAUAAUCUGGUAGGCACUAGUUCCUACAGUUGCUGAUUCUUGGAAUUAAUCUUCCUACCAAGUUAAGGGGACAGACUUAGCUGAUGGCCAUGAAUGGUUGCCCAGAACAAAAUAUCCAAAAGUUAUGGCCACAAAUGACAGAAGACCAAGUCAGAAACAGUAAAAUGUAAUCCCCAUAUUAUAAAACUGGUCCAGGCUACCACAUAUAGUUGUUCAUAUCAUGCCCUGUAUAACCUUAGAUGAUGCCAUUUGUAUAGGUGGUAUGUUGAGCCAAGGAAUAUCCAUGGCCUGUAAAAGCUAGAAAAGGCAGAGAAGUGGAUUCUUCCUUAGAACAAAAAAAAAAAAAAGAUGGGGGCGGGGGUGUGUGAAAGGGGUGGUGGGGGAUGCAGCUGGGCAUGGUGGCACAUACCUGUAAUCCCAGUGACUAGGGAGUUUGAGGCAGGAGAAUUGCAAAUUUGAGGCCAGCGUCAGUAGUUUAGUGAGACCUUGCCUCAAAAUAAAAAAUAAAAAGGACAAGGAUUGUAGCUAAGUGGUAUUGCACACCCCUGGGUUCAAUCCCUAGUAUCGAAAAUAACAAAAACGGAACGCAGCAACCCUGUGACCCCUUGAUUUUAGCCCAGUGAGACCAAUCAGAUUUCUAUCCCACAGUGCUGUGUAAGAUAAUAAAUUUGUGUUGCUUAAACUGUUCUGUGCUAAUUUGUUGCAGCAGAUGUAGAAUACUAAGAUGGCACUGUAAAAUAACAGAUGUGAUGUCAGAAUACCAAGUGGAAAUUUCACAGUAAAUGAUGUAGAACAUAUUAUGUAGCUCUGAAACUGAAAGGAAGACAGAAAAAUAUUAUGAAAGUAGAAGCAGAUUAUUUUAUGAGAAGGUUUUUGGGGGCAGAGCUAGGCAGUAAAUUUGUUUUCCCUCCUCAUGGGGGAAGGGGAAGAGCGUGACUGUCUCUUCACUUCACUGGUUAGAGGGGUUUCAUGGCUUUAUUUGUGUUCCCUUGAGUUUGGGAUCAAAAGGACUGAGUCUGUCUGCUGCUGAUGAAAACCCACAGGGCGGGAGAGAUGAAGAGUGACCUGCUUGGUUCCAGAUGAUGCAGAGCUGCUGGCUGCAUCAGGAGCAUUCUGUCCUCCCAGAGUUUGUCAGAUGUGGAGCACGUGUUUUGGCCCUUGCUUCAGGGAAGAGGAAGCAGAUGAAGCUUCAAAAAGAAGGGCCUGAAUGAGUAACUCAGAGCAGAGAGGUAACAGCACCUGUGAGACAGACUUCCUGGCUGUACCAUGGGAAUUACAGCUAAAGAAGCUCAGCAGGAAAUCUCCCAAGGAACCCAGGAAAGCACUCGGGUGAGAAAUUCCACUUGUCAUGUGAGAACUUUCCCCUUCUCCCUCCCCUUACAAGUAGGAAGGAAAGUUGGCUCUUUCCCUCCUCAAAAGGCAGGUGUCAGCCAACUUCAGGUCCAAGUUAGGAAGGUAAAGUAUUAUUUUUGAAGUAUUGAUUCAUAUAUUGACUUAAAUAUUUCUGAAUACCAAAUUGAGACAUGCCAAAAUGAUACAAACUAAAUAUUCCUUAACUCGAAUGCUUGGAGCCAGAGUGUUUUGAAUUUCAGAUUGCAGAAUACUUACUUACAUAUUCACAAUGACAUAUUUUCACACUGGGAACAAAGUCUAAACCUGCAAUCCACAUGUUUCAUAUACCGUUUAUAUACAUAACCUUAAGGUAAUUUCAUAUAUUAUUUUUAUUAAUUUUUAGAAAAAACAAAGUUUCAUGAUGUGGAAUUUUCCACUUCAGGCAUCAUACUGUUAUUUAAGGAGUUUCAUAUUUUCAAAUUAGGGAUUAUCUAGGGAGGAUGGGAUUAUACGGUUUUUUUUCUAUUAUGGGGUUUUAAAAAUUUAUUUAUUUUUAGUUAUGGAUGGACACAACACCUUUAUUUUAUGUAUUUAUUUUUAUUUGGUGCUGAGGAUCAAACCCAGUGCCUCACCCAGGCUAGGCAAGUGCUCUACCACUGAGCCACAACCCCAGCCCUGGAUUAUAGGUUUAAAGGAUUUGUUUAUCUUUGUCUUCCUAAUUUUUUCUUACAAUAAAUGAACAUUGUGCAAUUUAAAAAGUAAGAUUAUGAAAAGCAGUAAUAAAAAAUUUAAAAAAAAAUUUAAAAAGUAUUCCAGCUAGGAUCACAAUACAGAUCCUGUUGAUUGUAUCAUCUGGAUUCACAUGCUUCUUCCCAUAUCACAAACUGUCAGAAAGUCUAAAUCCAAAGGAUGAGUAUUUUCUAAGGAUAUGGACCAGAUUUUUCAUUUUCUAGCCUUUUAGUCCACUUCAAAGGGUACCAUCUCAUGUCUUGGAGGGUGCCAUCUCAUGACCUACCAAAUGGGAGCUGGAUUCUAACAUAGUAUCUUUGAACAUAAUAGUGGCUGCUUGUGACUGCCUUGUUACUCCAACGCUGGCACUAUGGAUUGAACCUAGGGGUGCUCUACACUGAGCUACAUCCCCAGCCUUUUAUUUUUUAUUUUGAGACAGUUCUCCCUAAAUUGCCAAGGAUGGUAACUCCAACUUACUGUCCUCCUGUUUCAGCCUCAUGAGUCACUCUGGGUUCCAUUCUGGGCUCUGGAGAUUAACAGAACAUAUGGUUUCACUCUAGGUGAAGCCUACAUUCCCUCAAUCCACAUUCCCUGGGAUGUAAGUUUCAUGAAAGCAACUCAUCUUUAUUUUGUUUUCUUAUGUGUCCCAAUGGGCUAGAAGAAUGCCUGGCAUGGGGUUGACUCUCAAUAUAUUUCUGUUAUUGAACUAAUUUCUUUGUAAGGGACCGGCGAACGACGGAGGAAGAGACCACCAAGAGACCGACUCAUGCAACAGCAAAAGGGGGUUUAUUGAAGAUCCAGCGCGCUGGGGCUCCGUGCUCACUCAAGAAGGGAGAGCAGCCAAGAGCCCCGAGAACAACUUGUGCAGGGUUUAUAUACAUUUUUUAGAGAGGGCAGGGACUUUACACACGUCAUAGUCCCCUUUAACAAAUCAUCAUACACCGCGGGAAAAUUAAACAACAAUUCUCAAACAUGAUUAGUACAUUCACUGGCGGGAACAGGUCGGGCAGGGGUGAUAGGUCAGUCCUAAGGCGGGGUAUACAUUCAAAUUGAUUGGUUUAGGCCCCGGGGUGCGUACAUGCUGAGCUGCACGGAUCCGGGUCAUUAAGCAACUAGGUGGUCAAGGGCGGGGGGGAUUUCUACACACAUCUAAUGGGCAGUUCUGGGAAUUAUCUUAACUGCCACAGGAAUUUCAGGUUCUGAGUGCAGCUUAGAAACUUUACAAAACCUGGUCCUUUACAUUUUAAUUUCAAUUUCUUUUAUCCUUUCAUCUUCUGUAUGGGAAAUGGCUUGGUUCUUUAAUAAUCUAGCAACUCUUAACUAAAAAUUAUAGGGAGCCAUUGUUUUAGAUUAGGCUUCUGCACAAGGCCCCAACAACUAGAUUAACCAUCAAAACUCAUUAAACUUUCAUAUCACAAAACCAAAACAAAGCUGUGAUUUGACCUUCCCAGAAACCAGAAGCUAAAUUUUCCAAACAGGCCAUCUUCAAUUGACAUGAUAAUGAAUUCCUCUCUUUUAAUCCUUAAGAAUAAAAAAUACGGUAACAUAACCUGAUGUUACCAGUUAUUUUUCUGAUGUUGUCUCCCUGUCCCCACCUUCCAAGGAAAGAAGCUCCGAAAUAACCAAUCUAUGUUUUGUUCUUUUUUUUUUUCCCCUGUUUUUUUUUUAAGUCCUUCUCUGUAUAUAAAAUCAAUCUCUUCUGCUCAACGCAUCAGAACACUUAACUCCAUUUUAUAGGAAUGAAGUGUUACUUGAUUCUAGAAUAAAAAAUAAAGCCAAUUAAAAUCUUUAAACUAAAUUGUUAUAAUUUUGUCCUUUGGCAGUUUGGACUUAGUGGGCUAGGUAUAAAAAUAUUCAGCCUUCCUUUGAUUUCCAACAUGCUCAAUUGAACAAGUGAUCACAAUUUCCACUCUCUGUCACUUCUUGGUGUGUGUACCCAAAAGCAUGGAGUUCUAUUGGAAAAAAAAACCUAAAGCAAAGUAAAAGACCAUGAAAGGAAUUAAACAUAAUAUGUUGGCCAAAUUUAUGUGGUAUGAUUGAUUUGGAAAUAAUACUUCCAAUUCCCUUUUACUACAUAUAUCAGAACAAUUUCUCUUAACUAAGAUGAUAUUUGGACUUUCUGUAUUAGUAUGUUUUAGCACAAAUAUAUAAAGACAGACCCUUCAACUGAGUAUGUGUGCAAGACAAAUUGUUCAAUUGAUCUAGCUAUGACUUAUUUAAUAAAUAUUUAUUGAGCUUCUACAUGAAUGGCACUAUGAAUUUGAAACAAGAAAUAUGAAAACACAAAUAUUAGCAAGGAAUCUGAAUGUUAAAAUGGAUAGAAAUACCAUUCAAGCCAUCUCAACUGAUAAAAGGAAUUUAUUGGUUCAUGUUACUGAAAAGUUCAAAAAUUACUUUAGAUGCUUCUGUAUCAUUAGUCUAAGAAUCAUACAUCUUUCUAUAUUGAGGUUCUGUCCUUUUGUUGUUGUUGUUGUUCUUUCUGUAAGGGUAAAAGAAAUUGAAGUUAAAGCGUAAAAGUUAAAGGGUAAAAGACCGGGUGUUGUAAAGUUUCUAAGCUGCAAGGUCUGAGUUAAAAUGUAAAGGAUUAGGUAUUGUUAGGUUUCUAUGCUACCUGCAAAACCUGAAAUUUCUAUAGCUGUUAAGACAAUGCUUAGAACCGCCCAGUAAACAUUUCCCCUGACUGUUUGGUUGUUUAAUAACUGAAGGGCUCUGUGUAACUGGUCACAUAGUCCUUUAGGCCCUAAAACCAAUCAGUUUGAAUGUGUACCCCGUUUAGGAAUGACCUAUCACUCCAGCCUGACCUGUUCAUUCA